UGGGGAAUAUUGGACAAUGGGCGAAAGCCUGAUCCAGCCAUGCCGCAUGUGUGAAGAAGGUCUUCGGAUUGUAAAGCACUUUAAGUUGGGAGGAAGGGCAUUAACCUAAUACGUUAGUGUUUUGACGUUACCGACAGAAUAAGCACCGGCUAACUCUGUGCCAGCAGCCGCGGUAAUACAGAGGGGGCAAGCGUUAAUCGGAAUUACUGGGCGUAAAGCGCGCGUAGGUGGUUUGUUAAGUUGGAUGUGAAAUCCCCGGGCUCAACCUGGGAACUGCAUUCAAAACUGACUGACUAGAGUAUGGUAGAGGGUGGUGGAAUUUCCUGUGUAGCGGUGAAAUGCGUAGAUAUAGGAAGGAACACCAGUGGCGAAGGCGACCACCUGGACUAAUACUGACACUGAGGUGCGAAAGCGUGGGGAGCAAACA
RNAcentral lists this ribosomal RNA (427 nucleotides) under uncultured bacterium. RNAcentral's name for it is "partial 16S ribosomal RNA". It matches the Rfam family "Bacterial small subunit ribosomal RNA", at positions 355 to 774 of the family's 1533-position model. The record is from RNAcentral.